AAUUCACUCCAUCCAUCGUCUUGUUCAACAUGUCUUGAUUUUCUUUGAANGUACGCAGACGAUGACCAUUUACCUUGAAGAUUAUGUCAGAAGAUUCUUCCUUGAUCUCCACUGCUCCAUAGGGAAAUCCUUGUGUUACAAUGAAUGGACCUUCCCAUUUGGAGCGUAACUUACCACUCAUAGGCCUUACCCUGAACUUGUACAGUAACACCUUUUGACCUAUGUUGAAGUCC
RNAcentral lists this long non-coding RNA (233 nucleotides) under Vigna radiata. RNAcentral describes it as "long non-coding RNA (VRAD_LNC013735)". Lineage: Eukaryota; Viridiplantae; Streptophyta; Magnoliopsida; Fabales; Fabaceae. The record is from RNAcentral.